RNAcentral lists this ribosomal RNA (253 nucleotides) under uncultured bacterium. RNAcentral describes it as "partial 16S ribosomal RNA". It matches the Rfam family "Bacterial small subunit ribosomal RNA", at positions 524 to 776 of the family's 1533-position model. The record is from RNAcentral.
UACGAAGGGGGCUAGCGUUGUUCGGAAUUACUGGGCGUAAAGCGCGCGCAGGCGGUCUUCCAAGUCAGUGGUGAAAGCCCGGAGCUCAACUCCGGAAUUGCCAUUGAAACUGUUGGACUUGAGGGUGAGAGAGGUGAGUGGAAUUCCCAGUGUAGAGGUGAAAUUCGUAGAUAUUGGGAAGAACACCGGUGGCGAAGGCGGCUCACUGGCUCAUUACUGACGCUCAGGCGCGAUAGCGUGGGGAUCAAACAGG